Molecule: ribosomal RNA, 525 nt
Filed under: uncultured bacterium
Lineage: Bacteria
Description: bacterial SSU rRNA
Rfam family: Bacterial small subunit ribosomal RNA
Source: RNAcentral
GGUUCAGGACGAACGCUGGCGGCGUGCCUAAUACAUGCAAGUCGAACGGUCUUUCUAUGGAAGCUUGCUUCCACUGAGAAGAUAGUGGCGAACGGGUGAGUAACACGUGGGUAACCUGCCCAUAAGAGGGGGAUAACAUCCGGAAACGGGUGCUAAUACCGCAUAGUUUUUCUUGAUCGCAUGAUUGAGAAAGGAAAGACGGCCUUUGUGCUGUCGCUUAUGGAUGGACCCGCGGCGUAUUAGUUAGUUGGUGAGGUAACGGCUCACCAAGACGAUGAUACGUAGCCGACCUGAGAGGUGAUCGGCCACAUUGGGACUGAGACACGGCCCAAACUCCUACGGGAGGCAGCAGUAGGGAAUCUUCCGCAAUGGACGAAAGUCUGACGGAGCAACGCCGCGUGAGUGAAGAAAGGGUUUUCGGAUCGUAAAACUCUGUUGUCAGAGAAGAACAAGUUGGAGAGUAACUGCUCCAGCCUUGACGGUAUCUGACCAGAAAGCCACGGCUAACUACGUGCCAGCCGCCGC